GACGAACGCUGGCGGCGUGCUUAACACAUGCAAGUCGAACGGAAAGGCCCUGCUUUUGUGGGGUGCUCGAGUGGCGAACGGGUGAGUAACACGUGAGUAACCUGCCCUUGACUUUUGGAUAACUUCAGGAAACUGGGGCUAAUACCGGAUAGGCGCUCCUGCUGCAUGGUGGGGGUUGGAAAGUUUCGGCGGUUGGGGAUGGACUCGCGGCUUAUCAGCUUGUUGGUGGGGUAGUGGCUUACCAAGGCUUUGACGGGUAGCCGGCCUGAGAGGGUGACCGGCCACAUUGGGACUGAGAUACGGCCCAGACUCCUACGGGAGGCAGCAGUGGGGAAGAUUGCACAAUGGGCGGAAGCCUGAUGCAGCAACGCCGCGUGCGGGAUGACGGCCUUCUGGUUGUAAACCGCUUUCGCCUGUGACGAAGCGUGAGUGACGGUAAUGGGUAAAGAAGCACCGGCUAACUACGUG
Molecule: ribosomal RNA, 468 nt
Filed under: uncultured bacterium
Lineage: Bacteria
Description: partial 16S ribosomal RNA
Rfam family: Bacterial small subunit ribosomal RNA
Source: RNAcentral